Molecule: ribosomal RNA, 732 nt
Filed under: uncultured archaeon
Lineage: Archaea
Description: bacterial SSU rRNA
Rfam family: Archaeal small subunit ribosomal RNA
Source: RNAcentral
AGGCUAAUACCUGAUAGGAGUUUUGUUCUGGAAUGAUAUUACUCUCAAACUCGUGCCCAAGGAUGAGACUGCGGCUGAUUAGCUUGUUGGCGGAGUAAUAGCCCACCAAGGCAAUGAUCAGUAAGGGCCCUUAGCGGGGUCGCCCUGAGAAGGAAUCUGAGACACUAUUCCUAGCUCUACGGAGUGCAGCAGCUGCGAAUUUUCUGCAAUGCGCGCAAGCGUGACAGAGCGAACCAAAGUGUUAUUCUUUUUGAAUAACUUUUGUCUGCUGUAAAAAGGCAGAUGAAUAAGGACUGGGCAAGACCGGUGCCAGCCGCCGCGGUAAUCCCGGCAGUCCAAGUUGCAAUCAACUUUAUUGGGUCUAAAACAUCCGUAGCUUGUUUAGUAAGUUUCUUGUGAAAUCUGGCAUCUCAAGUGUCAGGCGGGCAGGGAGUACUACUAGGCUAGAGACCGGGAGAUGUAAGGAGUACAUUCGAGGUAAUGGUUAAAUAUGUUAAUCUUGAAUGGACUAACAAUUGGCGAAGGCACCUUACAAGAACGGAUCUGACAGUGAGGGAUGAAGGCCAAGGGCGCAAAACGGAUUAGAUACCCGUGUAGUCUUGGCAGUAAACACUGCUCACUAAACAUCGGGACCUCUUCGGGAGGUUUCGGUGCUGAAGCGAAGGCGAAGAGUGAGCUACCUGGGAAGUAUAGUCGCAAGAUCGAAACUUAAAGGAAUUGGCGGGGGAGCAC